AUUGAACGCUGGCGGCAGGCCUAACACAUGCAAGUCGAGCGGAUGAAGGGAGCUUGCUCCUGGAUUCAGCGGCGGACGGGUGAGUAAUGCCUAGGAAUCUGCCUGGCAGUGGGGGAUAACGUCCGGAAACGGGCGCUAAUACCGCAUACGUCCAGAGGGUGAAAGUGGGGGAUCUUCGGACCUCACGCUAUCAGAUGAGCCUAGGCCGGAUUAGCUAGUUGGUGGGGUAAAGGCCUACCAAGGCGACGAUCCGUAGCUGGUCUGAGAGGAUGAUCAGUCACACUGGAACUGAGACACGGUCCAGACUCCUACGGGAGGCAGCAGUGGGGAAUAUUGGACAAUGGGCGAAAGCCUGAUCCAGCCAUGCCGCGUGUGUGAAGAAGGUCUUCGGAUUGUAAAGCACUUUAAGUUGGGAGGAAGGGCAGUAAGUUAAUACCUUGCUGUUUUGACGGUACCAACAGAAUAAGCACCGGCUAACUUCGUG
This 484-nucleotide ribosomal RNA is filed under the name uncultured bacterium. RNAcentral describes it as "partial 16S ribosomal RNA". It matches the Rfam family "Bacterial small subunit ribosomal RNA", at positions 30 to 507 of the family's 1533-position model. The record is from RNAcentral.